Molecule: long non-coding RNA, 568 nt
Organism: Cucurbita moschata (crookneck pumpkin)
Lineage: Eukaryota; Viridiplantae; Streptophyta; Magnoliopsida; Cucurbitales; Cucurbitaceae
Exons: 3
Source: RefSeq, a predicted model, not a curated record
CCAAUUGGACGUGUAAUAGCCAAGAACAUUGAUUCUUGGCCAUGGCGGUUUUCUCUGAGAAUUGGCUAAAAUUAGGACGUUUCGAUACAGGGAAGGAGGCUCUCUUUCUUCUACAACUCAAGGGGAGGAACAGAGCUUCAUACCUCCAAUUUGCAGGCUUCCAUGGCGGACUGAGAAGCUAUGAGAAGACUAAGUUGGGGAUGAUGAUCUCGAUCUCUCGAGUUGGUUGGCUGUGAGAGGGUCAAGAUCCAAGGAACCUAGGUGAGGAAACGAUGGCCAGUGUCCAAAGUUUAGUGGGUCCAUUGGUGAGGGGUGCGACGGUAGCCCUACAACUCGGUGACGACAAUCCCCUAUGCGAUGGAUGGUUCGCAGUGUAGCUUCACCAAUCCUCUCUUUUAACAUCUUGAACCUAUUGAGUCAUGCUAAUAUUAGCGCUAUUGAAUAUCUUCCUUCUUUGUAAAGAACAUUUAAUGCUAUUUGUUUUCAAGAAAAAGUGUGAAUGAGUGGAUGAUGUUAUGCCACAAAAUUCAACUUUGUUGUGAUGAUUGUGCCCAGAAUUUAGUUUGUG